RNAcentral lists this ribosomal RNA (471 nucleotides) under Imatidium thoracicum. RNAcentral describes it as "partial 12S small subunit ribosomal RNA". The record is from RNAcentral. Lineage: Eukaryota; Metazoa; Arthropoda; Insecta; Coleoptera; Chrysomelidae.
UCUAAUGAUCCAAUUUAUUUUUUUUGUCUUUGAAGAUUUAUAUAUAAAAAUUUAAUGAUAUUAUUGGGUGAAAUAUUUAAUAUUAUGAAAAAAUUAGAAUUCUCUAAAUUAAUAUAAAAACUAGGAUUAGAUACCCUAUUAUUAUAACUUAAAUAAAAAGUCUUAUUAUUAAAAGUUAAGUUCUUUAAACUAAAAAGAUUUGGCGGUGUUUUAUUUCUAAUCAGAGGAACCUGUUCUGUAAUUGAUAAUCCACGAUUAAAUUUACUUAUUUUUAGUUUACAUAUCGUUGUUUAAAAUAUUCUAGAAGGUAAAUAUUUAAUUAUUUAAAUAAAAAAAAAUCAGAUCAAGAUGUAGCUUAUAGAUAAGAAGAAAUGGGUUACUGUAAAUUCUGAAUUUAAAAAUUUGAAUUUUAAUGAAAUCGGAUUUGAAAGUAAAUUUUAAUAUAUUUUAAUAUUGAAAAAGCCCUGAAGA